This 1065-nucleotide small RNA is filed under the name Pan troglodytes (chimpanzee). RNAcentral's name for it is "retained intron". Lineage: Eukaryota; Metazoa; Chordata; Mammalia; Primates; Hominidae. The record is from RNAcentral.
UGCAUGUUGUAGUAAAAAAAUGGGCUCAUGUUUCUGGAGUAUUUUUCGUUGUGUGUAGUGCAAUACAGGAACUUUAAAGAACACCAUGGGACCCAUGUGAAAUGCCACUAGUGAAGCUGGGAGUGCGCCCAAGAACAGAGAAAAGUCACAACAUGACAAGAAAAACUUAAAUUGCUUGAUACAUACUAGAGAUUGAAUGGUUGCCCUCCACACCACACAGAUAAUUCAUUGUGUCAACAUGUAGACUUACAGAAUCGAAUGCAGUACAGUCCCAUAAUUGUGUUGUCUCUUACGAUUUUCUUAAUAACAUUUUUUUCUCUAGCUUCCUUAUAAAAAUAUGGUGUAGAAUACAUAUACGAAAUAUAUGUUAAUUAACUGUUUAUGUUAUCAUUAAGGCUUCUGGUCAACAGUAGGCUACUAGUAGGUAAGUUUUGGGGGAGUCAAAAGCUAUACUCGGAUUUUUUAUUUCAAGGGGCGUCAUUGCUCCUAAUCCCUGUGUUGAUCAGGGUCAGCGGCGCUCAGGCUCCUGGAGGCUGGUACAGGGCAUCACUCCCUGUUCCGAACUCAACAUUGCCCUUUCCUGCUGUGGCGUUUGUCACAUGCCGGGCCUCGGGGCUCCCAGGCCGGUGACUAACUGUGGCUUCUCCUCUCCAGUAUGGAAUGCUCCUUUACCAGAAUUACCGAAUCCCUCAGCAGAGGAAGGCCUUGCUGUCCCCGUUCUCGACGCCAGUGCGCAGUGUCUCCGAGAACUCCCUCGUGGCAAUGGAUUUUUCUGGGCAAACAGGACGCGUGAUAGAGAAUCCGGCGGAGGCCCAGAGCGCAGCCCUGGAGGAGGGCCACGCCUGGAGGAAGCGAAGCACACGGAUGAACAUCCUAGGUAGCCAAAGUCCCCUCCACCCUUCUACCCUAAGUACAGUGAUUCACAGGACACAGCACUGGUUUCACGGGAGGAUCUCCAGGGAGGAAUCCCACAGGAUCAUUAAACAGCAAGGGCUCGUGGAUGGGCUUUUUCUCCUCCGUGACAGCCAGAGUAAUCCAAAGGCAUUUGUACUCACACUGUGUCAU